GGAUGUGAGGGCAAUCUGGCUGCGGCAUCUGUCACUCUAUUGAUCUCCAUGGUUGAUUCGGCUAAUCUGGCUGACUAGGCGUCCCUCACCGAUCCAGGUGCAUCCCUCCUGAAGCAUGCUCAGUUGAAGAGGAUGACCUUUCCCCACUCAGGAGAGGACCAGUCUUCGGCCAAGGGUACAUGAGUAGCUGCGCUCCCCUGCUGAAAACUCCAAACAAGCUCUCAAGGUCCAAAUCUGAUGAUUUCUCAUUCUAUUUCUUUAAAAAAUGACAUUGGGAUUUUGAUUGGGAUUUCAUUAAAUCUGCAUAUUGCUUUGGGUAAUAUGGCCAUUU
This is an unclassified non-coding RNA of Myotis lucifugus (little brown bat), 331 nucleotides long. Its record names the gene 7SK. It matches the Rfam family "7SK RNA". From Rfam's summary of the family: 7SK was discovered as an abundant small nuclear RNA in the mid-70s but a possible function has only recently been suggested. Two independent studies have found that 7SK RNA binds the CDK9/cyclin T complex (known as elongation factor P-TEFb). The record is from Ensembl. Lineage: Eukaryota; Metazoa; Chordata; Mammalia; Chiroptera; Vespertilionidae.